Beta vulgaris subsp. vulgaris (sugar beet) is the source of this 626-nucleotide long non-coding RNA. RefSeq lists it as uncharacterized. Lineage: Eukaryota; Viridiplantae; Streptophyta; Magnoliopsida; Caryophyllales; Amaranthaceae. The record is from RefSeq and is a predicted model, not a curated record. The transcript has 3 exons.
CUAUUAUUUUCGCCCCCCUCCUUUGUUUUUUCCUCUCUUUCUUUUCUUCUCCUCUCCUCCCUCCAUCGAUCUCUCGCUCUCCUCUUCGUCGAUCGGUUGCCGCUGUAGCCACCACUGGGACGUCGCCAGCCACACAACCCAUCACUCCUCCUCCUUGCUCGAUUGUCGUGUUUCUCCCUCCUCCUUUGCUUGAGAAUUCUCUUUAGCCGGCUUUUAAGGUUGUGAAAGUGGUCUCUCGAUUUGUCGACACAAGGAUCUAGAUAUGUUUUGUAGCAAGGAUAUUCGGGUGGGAAGCUAUGCCAACCCGGUCGUGUGAUGAUGAGAUGGAUGUGGUGUCUGAUUAUGAUGAUGAGAGUUAUUCUAGUAUAGAGUUGGAGAUGUGUAGGGUGUUGAAGGUCAGUACAGUGAUGAUGAUGUCAUACAAGAGUUUGAUCGUGCUGGGAGUCAGACUCAGAUGGAUAUAUAUGAUGCUGUGAUGAGGAGUGUGUUUUAGGGAGCCGAGGUACCCUGUGCUAGAUGACUAUGAUGAGGAUGAUAAGGAUGAUGAGGAUGAUGAGUUUGAUGAUGUACCUCCCUGGAUUAUUUACCUAUGUAUUUAUGUUUUUAGAAUAAAUGUUGAAUAUAUA